RNAcentral lists this unclassified non-coding RNA (380 nucleotides) under Hevea brasiliensis (rubber tree). The record is from RNAcentral. Lineage: Eukaryota; Viridiplantae; Streptophyta; Magnoliopsida; Malpighiales; Euphorbiaceae.
UUCUCCAAGUCCGAGUAUGAAGAGCAUGGUGCUUCUUAUGUGCAAAGAAAAUGUCCUUGAUAGCUUACUUAUGACAUGAGGCUGUAUCUGAUUUUUCUGGUGGAUAAGCUGUAAAAAAAAAAAAAAAAACUGCAUUGCAUCAACUCUCAUUUUGGGAUCUUAGGUAUGAAAGUAAUAUGUAUGCCAUAACACCAACAUUUUGGGGCACAUAUUCAUGUAGCCUUUAAUCUAAUUUCAGGCCUCCAGGCCUCAUCACAAAGCUUUCUUUUUACAAUGUAUUAUUGUUUGUCUAACUUGGAUUACCUUUUAUAUUAUUCUGUAGCCAAUUGUUUGACCCUGUAGCAUAGGUUUGUACCCAUUUGAAUAUAUAUAAGGCUGGA